This 261-nucleotide ribosomal RNA is filed under the name uncultured archaeon. Its description in RNAcentral is "partial 16S ribosomal RNA". It matches the Rfam family "Archaeal small subunit ribosomal RNA", at positions 748 to 1009 of the family's 1478-position model. The record is from RNAcentral.
CAGCCGUAAACUAUGCGCGUUAGGUGUAUCGGUGACCACGAGUCACCGAGGUGCCGAAGGGAAACCGUGAAACGUGCCGCCUGGGAAGUACGGUCGCAAGGCUGGAACUUAAAGGAAUUGGCGGGGGAGCACCACAACGGGUGGAGCCUGCGGUUUAAUUGGACUCAACGCCGGGAAGCUCACCGGAUAAGACAGCGGAAUGAUUGCCGGGCUGAAGACUCUGCAUGACUAGCUGAGAGGAGGUGCAUGGCGUAGACGUCU